This 86-nucleotide transfer RNA is filed under the name Paracoccaceae bacterium. RNAcentral's name for it is "Rhodobacteraceae bacterium (marine metagenome) tRNA-Leu". It matches the Rfam family "tRNA". Rfam says of the family: Transfer RNA (tRNA) molecules are approximately 80 nucleotides in length. Lineage: Bacteria; Pseudomonadati; Pseudomonadota; Alphaproteobacteria; Rhodobacterales; Paracoccaceae. The record is from RNAcentral.
GCCCAUCUGGCGGAAUUGGUAGACGCGCUGGUUUCAGGUACCAGUGUUCACAAGACGUGGAGGUUCGAGUCCUCUCCUGGGCACCA